RNAcentral lists this ribosomal RNA (305 nucleotides) under uncultured bacterium. RNAcentral describes it as "bacterial SSU rRNA". It matches the Rfam family "Bacterial small subunit ribosomal RNA", at positions 333 to 655 of the family's 1533-position model. The record is from RNAcentral.
UGGGUCCUACGGGAGGCAGCAGUGGGGAGUAUUGCACAAUGGGGGGAACCCUGAUGCAGCGACGCCGCGUGAGCGAUGAAGUAUUUCGGUAUGUAAAGCUCUAUCAGCAGGGAAGAAAAUGACGGUACCUGACUAAGAAGCCCUGGCUAACUACGUGCCAGCAGCCGCGGUAAUACGUAGGGGACAAGCGUUAUCCGGAUUUACUGGGUGUAAAGGGAGCGUAGACGGUCCUGCAAGCCAGAUGUGAAAGCCCGGGGCUCAACCCCGGGACUGCAUUUGGAACUGUAAGGCUAGAGUGUCGGAGG